This 819-nucleotide long non-coding RNA is filed under the name Equus asinus (donkey). Its description in RNAcentral is "lncRNA (ENSEASG00005034673.1)". The record is from RNAcentral. Lineage: Eukaryota; Metazoa; Chordata; Mammalia; Perissodactyla; Equidae.
CUAAAGAUGGAAACCCACAGGACUCGGUGGUUCCCAGUGAGCUUCACUGCAUCCGUCCUCUACAUGCUCGACACGCACUAAAGAUGGAGACCCACAGGACUCGGUGGUUCCCAGUGAGCUUCACUGCGUCCGUCCUCCACAUGCUCGACAGGCACUAAAGAUGGAAAUCUACAGGAUUUAACAAAAGGAUAGGAGAGUAGUCACACCACCUCGGAAAGCCCUCCUUUGAAAUCCGACAGUCACAGCUUCAGAAGACUCUGGAUUUCAGGGGAAGCUAUAACUGCUCAGGAAGAAUUCAUGUCCAAAACCACGACUUUCUGGGGAGUCCAAACAUCACAGCCCUUGACAACCGAGUGCUGGAAGAGGCCCUAGAGGUUGGCCAAUUGAUGCCGUCAUCUCAUAACCAAAAGGCAGCCCCAGGAGGGCUGGCAGCGGCCAAGACCACGAGCUAUGCAGUGGUGGAGCUGGGAUUAGAACCCAGAUAUUCUGGUGCCUCUGCCAGGCCCAGAUGCCCCCAGGAAUAGCUGAAGUCCCGGGCUGAGAUACGAGCAGAAGACUUCCAGGCAGAGGAAAUCAGAGCUGGACCUGCCGGUGCCGCCAUCUGUUCUUCAGUGCUGACCUAAGAGUUGGGGGGCCCCGUGGGACUGGGGGAAUCAUCCAGCUGUGGGUUUAUGUUUUACGUGGACUGAAUUCGGUCAAUGUCCCUGACUUUCAGGCUUUGACAGUCAUCCUGUAAUGUUUACCUCUAUCAGAAACCUCAACUGUAUGCUCUUUAAUAUGUUUUAUUAAUAUUAAUAAAGUUAAUUCCACUUAAUCUAA